This 848-nucleotide ribosomal RNA is filed under the name uncultured bacterium. Its description in RNAcentral is "bacterial SSU rRNA". It matches the Rfam family "Bacterial small subunit ribosomal RNA", at positions 30 to 872 of the family's 1533-position model. The record is from RNAcentral.
UGAACGCGGCGGAUGCUUACACAUGCAAGUCGAACGGGUCAUGGGGCUGCUCCAUGACCUAGUGGCGAACGGGUGAGUAAUACAUAGGAACGUGUCCCGUAGUGGGGGAUAACGCACCCGAAAGGUGUGCUAAUACCGGCAUAUGCUCUGAAGGAGGAAAGCCGGGGGGACCGGUAACGGCCAUGCGCUAUGGGAGCGGCCUAUGUCCGAUUAGCUAGUUGGUGAGGUAAAGGCUCACCAAGGCGACGAUCGGUAGCUGGUCUGAGAGGAUGAUCAGCCACACUGGAAGUGAGACACGGUCCAGACUCCUACGGGAGGCAGCAGUGGGGAAUUUUGGACAAUGGGGGCAACCCUGAUCCAGCCAUUCCGCGUGAGUGAAGAAGGCCUUCGGGUUGUAAAGCUCUUUCGGCAGGGAAGAAACGGUUACGGUGAAUAUCCGUGACUAAUGACGGUACCUGACUAAGAAGCACCGGCUAACUACGUGCCAGCAGCCGCGGUAAUACGUAGGGUGCGAGCGUUAAUCGGAAUUACUGGGCGUAAAGCGUGCGCUGGCGGUUUUGUAAGUCAGAUGUGAAAGCCCCGGGCUUAACCUGGGAACUGCGUUUGAAACUGCAAGGCUAGAGUUUGGCAGAGGGGGGUAGAAUUCCACGUGUAGCAGUGAAAUGCGUAGAUAUGUGGAGGAACACCGAUGGCGAAGGCAGCCCCCUGGGUCAAAACUGACGCUCAUGCACGAAAGCGUGGGGAGCAAACAGGAUUAGAUACCCUGGUAGUCCACGCCCUAAACGAUGUCAACUAGUUGUCGGGGAGGGUGACCUCUUUGUAACGCAGCUAACGCGUGAAGUGACCGC